Molecule: ribosomal RNA, 125 nt
Filed under: Pogona vitticeps (central bearded dragon)
Lineage: Eukaryota; Metazoa; Chordata; Lepidosauria; Squamata; Agamidae
Source: RNAcentral
UCAUGUACAGCAUACUAUCCUGAACUGAACAAAACUGAUAUCCUAUGAUUUCAAAAGCUAAACAGGGUCAGGUCUGGUUAGUACUUGGAUGGGAGACCACCCUGGAAUCCCAGGUGGGGCAAGGA